CAGUAGACGACUGGGUUGAUAGGCCGGAUAUGGAAGCACCGUGAGGUGUGGAGUUGACCGGUACUAAUAGGCCGAGGGCUUGUCCUCAGUUG
RNAcentral lists this ribosomal RNA (92 nucleotides) under Streptomyces sp. 4R-3d. RNAcentral describes it as "partial 23S ribosomal RNA". It matches the Rfam family "Bacterial large subunit ribosomal RNA", at positions 2838 to 2925 of the family's 2925-position model. Lineage: Bacteria; Bacillati; Actinomycetota; Actinomycetes; Kitasatosporales; Streptomycetaceae. The record is from RNAcentral.